CUCCAGUUGGAUGCAUGUCCUUCUGGGAAAGAUUCAUCGGUAUGGGAUGGGGUCGCGUCCUAUCAGCUUGAUGGCGGGGUAACGGCCCACCAUGGCUUCGACGGGUAGCCGGCCUGAGAGGGCGACCGGCCACAUUGGGACUGAGAUACGGCCCAGACUCCUACGGGAGGCAGCAGUGGGGAAUAUUGCACAAUGGGCGCAAGCCUGAUGCAGCGACGCCGCGUGCGGGAUGACGGCCUUCGGGUUGUAAACCGCUUUUGACUGGGAGCAAGCCCUUCGGGGUGAGUGUACCUUUCGAAUAAGCACCGGCUAACUACGUGCCAGCAGCCGCGGUAAUACGUAGGGUGCAAGCGUUAUCCGGAAUUAUUGGGCGUAAAGGGCUCGUAGGCGGUUCGUCGCGUCCGGUGUGAAAGUCCAUCGCUUAACG
RNAcentral lists this ribosomal RNA (427 nucleotides) under uncultured Bifidobacterium sp. RNAcentral describes it as "bacterial SSU rRNA". It matches the Rfam family "Bacterial small subunit ribosomal RNA", at positions 173 to 614 of the family's 1533-position model. The record is from RNAcentral. Lineage: Bacteria; Bacillati; Actinomycetota; Actinomycetes; Bifidobacteriales; Bifidobacteriaceae.